GAUGAACGCUGGCGGCGUGCCUAAUACAUGCAAGUCGAGCGAACGGACGAGAAGCUUGCUUCUCUGAUGUUAGCGGCGGACGGGUGAGUAACACGUGGAUAACCUACCUAUCAGACUGGGAUAACUUCGGGACACCGGAGCUAAUACCGGAUAAUAUUUUGAACCGCAUGGUUCAAAAGUGAAAGACGGUCUUGCUGUCACUUAUAGAUGGAUCCGCGCUGCAUUAGCUAGUUGGUAAGGUAACGGCUUACCAAGGCAACGAUGCAUAGCCGACCUGAGAGGGUGAUCGGCCACACUAGAACUGAGACACGGUCCAGACUCCUACGGGAGGCAGCAGUAGGGAAUCUUCCGCAAUGGGCGAAAGCCUGACGGAGCAACGCCGCGUGAGUGAUGAAGGUCUUCGGAUCGUAAAACUCUGUUAUUAGGGAAGAACAUAUGUGUAAGUAACUGUGCACAUCUUGACGGUACCUAAUCAGAAAGCCACGGCUAACUACGUG
Molecule: ribosomal RNA, 497 nt
Filed under: uncultured bacterium
Lineage: Bacteria
Description: partial 16S ribosomal RNA
Rfam family: Bacterial small subunit ribosomal RNA
Source: RNAcentral